Molecule: ribosomal RNA, 503 nt
Filed under: uncultured bacterium
Lineage: Bacteria
Description: partial 16S ribosomal RNA
Rfam family: Bacterial small subunit ribosomal RNA
Source: RNAcentral
AUUGAACGCUGGCGGCAGGCUUAACACAUGCAAGUCGAGCGGGGGAAGGUAGCUUGCUACCGGACCUAGCGGCGGACGGGAGAGUAAUGCUUAGGAAUCUGCCUAUUAGUGGGGGACAACAUCUCGAAAGGGAUGCUAAUACCGCAUACGUCCUACGGGAGAAAGCAGGGGAUCACUUGUGACCUUGCGCUAAUAGAUGAGCCUAAGUCGGAUUAGCUAGUUGGUGGGGUAAAGGCCUACCAAGGCGACGAUCUGUAGCGGGUCUGAGAGGAUGAUCCGCCACACUGGGACUGAGACACGGCCCAGACUCCUACGGGAGGCAGCAGUGGGGAAUAUUGGACAAUGGGGGGAACCCUGAUCCAGCCAUGCCGCGUGCGUGAAGAAGGCCUUAUGGUUGUAAAGCACUUUAAGCGAGGAGGAGGCUUACCUAGUUAAUACCUGGGAUAAGUGGACGUUACUCGCAGAAUAAGCACCGGCUAACUCUGUGCCAGCAGCCGCCGUAA